UCUCCUAGGGGCUUACCUCUGGUUGUAGCAGAAUCUAAUGAGGGUUCCGUUUCUCUUCUGUCCACUGUCCGAGGAGGCACACUACAUAUUGUAGUGUGCCUUAAUUGGGUUCAGCCACCAUAAAUCCUGACAAUUGGCCGUUAGAGGGGAGAGGAGGUAAAGCCGAGCUUUGACAUGAUUUGCCUUGGCAAGGCAUCAGAUAGGGCCUAAGCCAUCAAACAACAAGGCCACAAAUGGUGGGACCUGGAGAUACCCUUUGUCUAGCUAGUCGAGCAAGGGUACACCAUUGAAUGUUGAUGUGGUUACUAUCUUAGUAAAGCAAGGCUAUUCAAUGUUAUGCAAUUACAUAAAAUCUCUCCUCCCCUCUUUAGGCAUAAAUUGUCAAGGAGGUGGCAUUCCCCUUUCACACUAGAGAAUUACCUCUAGUGGAGAUAAGAGACAAACAGACAUAUAACCAAAAAAAAAAAACAUCCUGGCCUUGGCCUGGAGAGACCAAGGGCUUACCUCUGGUUGUAGCAGAAUCUAAUGAGGGUUCCGUUUCUCUUCUGUCCACUGUCCGAGGAGGCACACUACAUAUUGUAGUGUGCCUUAAUUGGGUUCAGCCACCAUAAAUCCUGACAAUUGGCCGUUAGAGGGGAGAGGAGGUAAAGCCGAGCUUUGACAUGAUUUGCCUUGGCAAGGCAUCAGAUAGGGCCUAAGCCAUCAAACAACAAGGCCACAAAUGGUGGGACCUGGAGAUACCCUUUGUCUAGCUAGUCGAGCAAGGGUACACCAUUGAAUGUUGAUGUGGUUACUAUCUUAGUAAAGCAAGGCUAUUCAAUGUUAUGCAAUUACAUAAAAUCUCUCCUCCCCUCUUUAGGCAUAAAUUGUCAAGGAGGUGGCAUUCCCCAAGGUGUUUCCAAAGGAGUUAAUUAAAGAGGGAUAUGGAUUGGACAUCUGAGCCGUCGGGACAGUCAUUCAUAUCUCUGUUUUUUUUGUUUUUUUUUUUUUUUUAACUUAUUGUGAGCAACCAAAGUGCUUGUGAAUAAUCUUCUGACUAUAUAUAUUAAUAAAAUAAUAUACAUGACAUUGCUAUUUGCUAAUGAUAACAUAACGGUAGUCACUAGAUAAAUGAAA
This is a long non-coding RNA of Amphimedon queenslandica, 1116 nucleotides long. RefSeq lists it as uncharacterized. Lineage: Eukaryota; Metazoa; Porifera; Demospongiae; Haplosclerida; Niphatidae. The transcript has 2 exons. The record is from RefSeq and is a predicted model, not a curated record.